Cricetulus griseus (Chinese hamster) is the source of this 137-nucleotide non-coding RNA. Ensembl annotates it as small Cajal body-specific RNA 21. Lineage: Eukaryota; Metazoa; Chordata; Mammalia; Rodentia; Cricetidae. The record is from Ensembl.
UGGCUUGGUUUCCUAGGGGUUGGACUCAGUGUACUCCACCUCCUCUCAGUUAAGUCUGUAGUAGAGAGGCAAGAGCACGUGUGUGGGAGAGGUGCUUACGAAAGGAGCCCUGCCUGGGCUGUCCUAGCCUCCCAUCU